Molecule: ribosomal RNA, 484 nt
Filed under: uncultured bacterium
Lineage: Bacteria
Description: partial 16S ribosomal RNA
Rfam family: Bacterial small subunit ribosomal RNA
Source: RNAcentral
AUUGAACGCUGGCGGCAGGCCUAACACAUGCAAGUCGAGCGGAUGAAGGGAGCUUGCUCCUGGAUUCAGCGGCGGACGGGUGAGUAAUGCCUAGGAAUCUGCCUGGUAGUGGGGGAUAACGUCCGGAAACGGGCGCUAAUACCGCAUACGUCCUGAGGGAGAAAGUGGGGGAUCUUCGGACCUCACGCUAUCAGAUGAGCCUAGGUCGGAUUAGCUAGUUGGUGGGGUAAAGGCCUACCAAGGCGACGAUCCGUAACUGGUCUGAGAGGAUGAUCAGUCACACUGGAACUGAGACACGGUCCAGACUCCUACGGGAGGCAGCAGUGGGGAAUAUUGGACAAUGGGCGAAAGCCUGAUCCAGCCAUGCCGCGUGUGUGAAGAAGGUCUUCGGAUUGUAAAGCACUUUAGGUUGGGAGGAAGGGCAGUAAGUCAAUACCUUGCUGUUUUGACGUUACCAACAGAAUAAGCACCGGCUAACUUCGUG